GCCACAUCAUGCUGAAACAACAAUUCUCGUAUGAUCAUCAAAGUUAAGCAAUGUCAAACCUGGUCAGUACUGAGAUGGGUGACCACUUGGGAAACCCAGGUGCUGGA
This is a non-coding RNA of Acanthosepion pharaonis, 107 nucleotides long. NCBI's taxonomy places the organism in Eukaryota, Metazoa, Mollusca, Cephalopoda, Sepiida, Sepiidae. The record is from the annotation of a GenBank genome assembly.